UACGUAGGGUGCAAGCGUUGUCCGGAAUUAUUGGGCGUAAAGAGCUCGUAGGCGGUUUGUUGCGUCGGCUGUGAAAGCCCGGGGCUUAACCCCGGGUCUGCAUUCGAUACGGGCUGGCUAGAGUGUGGUAGGGGAGAUCGGAAUUCCUGGUGUAGCGGUGAAAUGCGCAGAUAUCAGGAGGAACACCGGUGGCGAAGGCGGAUCUCUGGGCCAUUACUGACGCUGAGGAGCGAAAGCGUGGGGAGCGAACAGG
Molecule: ribosomal RNA, 253 nt
Filed under: uncultured bacterium
Lineage: Bacteria
Description: partial 16S ribosomal RNA
Rfam family: Bacterial small subunit ribosomal RNA
Source: RNAcentral